This 497-nucleotide ribosomal RNA is filed under the name uncultured bacterium. RNAcentral's name for it is "partial 16S ribosomal RNA". It matches the Rfam family "Bacterial small subunit ribosomal RNA", at positions 28 to 507 of the family's 1533-position model. The record is from RNAcentral.
GAUGAACGCUGGCGGCGUGCCUAAUACAUGCAGGUCGAGCGAACGGACGAGAAGCUUGCUUCUCUGAUGUUAGCGGCGGACGGGUGAGUAACACGUGGAUAACCUACCUAUAAGACUGGGAUAACUUCGGGAAACCGGAGCUAAUACCGGAUGAUAUUUUGAACCGCAUGGUUCAAAAGUGAAAGACGGUCUUGCUGUCACUUAUAGAUGGAUCCGCGCUGCAUUAGCUAGUUGGUAAGGUAACGGCUUACCAAGGCAACGAUGCAUAGCCGACCUGAGAGGGUGAUCGGCCACACUGGAACUGAGACACGGUCCAGACUCCUACGGGAGGCAGCAGUAGGGAAUCUUCCGCAAUGGGCGAAAGCCUGACGGAGCAACGCCGCGUGAGUGGUGAAGGUCUUCGGACCGUAAAACUCUGUUAUUAGGGAAGAACAUAUGUGUAAGUAACUGUGCACAUCUUGACGGUACCUAAUCAGAAAGCCACGGCUAACUACGUG